GACGAACGCUGGCGGCGUGCUUAACACAUGCAAGUCGAACGAAGAGCGAUGGAAGCUUGCUUCUAUCAAUCUUAGUGGCGAACGGGUGAGUAACGCGUAAUCAACCUGCCCUUCAGAGGGGGAUAACAGUUGGAAACGACUGCUAAUACCGCAUACGAUCUAAUCUCGGCAUCGAGGAUAGAUGAAAGGUGGCCUCUACAUGUAAGCUAUCACUGAAGGAGGGGAUUGCGUCUGAUUAGCUAGUUGGAGGGGUAACGGCCCACCAAGGCGAUGAUCAGUAGCCGGUCUGAGAGGAUGAACGGCCACAUUGGGACUGAGACACGGCCCAGACUCCUACGGGAGGCAGCAGUGGGGAAUCUUCCGCAAUGGACGAAAGUCUGACGGAGCAACGCCGCGUGAGUGAUGACGGCCUUCGGGUUGUAAAGCUCUGUUAAUCGGGACGAAAGGCCUUCUUGCGAAUAGUGAGAAGGAUAGACG
This 477-nucleotide ribosomal RNA is filed under the name Veillonella parvula. RNAcentral describes it as "bacterial SSU rRNA". It matches the Rfam family "Bacterial small subunit ribosomal RNA", at positions 28 to 474 of the family's 1533-position model. Lineage: Bacteria; Bacillati; Bacillota; Negativicutes; Veillonellales; Veillonellaceae. The record is from RNAcentral.